UACGAAGGGGGCUAGCGUUGCUCGGAAUCACUGGGCGUAAAGGGUGCGUAGGCGGGUCUUUAAGUCAGGGGUGAAAUCCUGGAGCUCAACUCCAGAACUGCCUUUGAUACUGAGGAUCUUGAGUUCGGGAGAGGUGAGUGGAACUGCGAGUGUAGAGGUGAAAUUCGUAGAUAUUCGCAAGAACACCAGUGGCGAAGGCGGCUCACUGGCCCGAUACUGAUGCUGAGGCACGAAAGCGUGGGGAGCAAACAGG
Molecule: ribosomal RNA, 253 nt
Filed under: uncultured bacterium
Lineage: Bacteria
Description: partial 16S ribosomal RNA
Rfam family: Bacterial small subunit ribosomal RNA
Source: RNAcentral